UUAAGUUAUUAAGGGCGCACGGUGGAUGCCUUGGCACUAGAAGCCGAUGAAGGACGUUACUAACGACGAUAUGCUUUGGGGAGCUGUAAGUAAGCUUUGAUCCAGAGAUUUCCGAAUGGGGAAACCCAGCAUGAGUUAUGUCAUGUUAUCGAUAUGUGAAUACAUAGCAUAUCAGAAGGCACACCCGGAGAACUGAAACAUCUUAGUACCCGGAGGAAGAGAAAGAAAAUUCGAUUCCCUUAGUAGCGGCGAGCGAAACGGGAAGAGCCCAAACCAACAAGCUUGCUUGUUGGGGUUGUAGGACACUCUGUACGGAGUUACAAAGGACGACAUUAGACGAAUCAUCUGGAAAGAUGAAUCAAAGAAGGUAAUAAUCCUGUAGUCGAAAAUGUUGUCUCUCUUGAGUGGAUCCUGAGUACGACGGAGCACGUGAAAUUCCGUCGGAAUCUGGGAGGACCAUCUCCUAAGGCUAAAUACUCUCUAGUGACCGAUAGUGAACCAGUACCGUGAGGGAAAGGUGAAAAGCACCCCGGAAGGGGAGUGAAAUAGAACCUGAAACCGUGUGCUUACAAGUAGUCAGAGCCCGUUAAUGGGUGAUGGCGUGCCUUUUGUAGAAUGAACCGGCGAGUUACGAUUUGAUGCAAGGUUAAGCAGUAAAUGUGGAGCCGUAGCGAAAGCGAGUCUGAAUAGGGCGUUUAGUAUUUGGUCGUAGACCCGAAACCAGGUGAUCUACCCUUGGUCAGGUUGAAGUUCAGGUAACACUGAAUGGAGGACCGAACCGACUUACGUUGAAAAGUGAGCGGAUGAACUGAGGGUAGCGGAGAAAUUCCAAUCGAACCUGGAGAUAGCUGGUUCUCUCCGAAAUAGCUUUAGGGCUAGCCUCAAGUGAUGAUUAUUGGAGGUAGAGCACUGUUUGGACGAGGGGCCCCUCUCGGGUUACCGAAUUCAGACAAACUCCGAAUGCCAAUUAAUUUAACUUGGGAGUCAGAACAUGGGUGAUAAGGUCCGUGUUCGAAAGGGAAACAGCCCAGACCACCAGCUAAGGUCCCAAAAUAUAUGUUAAGUGGAAAAGGAUGUGGCGUUGCCCAGACAACUAGGAUGUUGGCUUAGAAGCAGCCAUCAUUUAAAGAGUGCGUAAUAGCUCACUAGUCGAGUGACACUGCGCCGAAAAUGUACCGGGGCUAAACAUAUUACCGAAGCUGUGGAUUGUCCUUUGGACAAUGGUAGGAGAGCGUUCUAAGGGCGUUGAAGCAUGAUCGUAAGGACAUGUGGAGCGCUUAGAAGUGAGAAUGCCGGUGUGAGUAGCGAAAGACGGGUGAGAAUCCCGUCCACCGAUUGACUAAGGUUUCCAGAGGAAGGCUCGUCCGCUCUGGGUUAGUCGGGUCCUAAGCUGAGGCCGACAGGCGUAGGCGAUGGAUAACAGGUUGAUAUUCCUGUACCACCUAUAAUCGUUUUAAUCGAUGGGGGGACGCAGUAGGAUAGGCGAAGCGUGCGAUUGGAUUGCACGUCUAAGCAGUAAGGCUGAGUAUUAGGCAAAUCCGGUACUCGUUAAGGCUGAGCUGUGAUGGGGAGAAGACAUUGNGUCUUCGAGUCGUUGAUUUCACACUGCCGAGAAAAGCCUCUAGAUAGAAAAUAGGUGCCCGUACCGCAAACCGACACAGGUAGUCAAGAUGAGAAUUCUAAGGUGAGCGAGCGAACUCUCGUUAAGGAACUCGGCAAAAUGACCCCGUAACUUCGGGAGAAGGGGUGCUCUUUAGGGUUAACGCCCAGAAGAGCCGCAGUGAAUAGGCCCAAGCGACUGUUUAUCAGAAACACAGGUCUCUGCUAAACCGUAAGGUGAUGUAUAGGGGCUGACGCCUGCCCGGUGCUGGAAGGUUAAGAGGAGUGGUUAGCUUCUGCGAAGCUACGAAUCGAAGCCCCAGUAAACGGCGGCCGUAACUAUAACGGUCCUAAGGUAGCGAAAUUCCUUGUCGGGUAAGUUCCGACCCGCACGAAAGGCGUAACGAUUUGGGCACUGUCUCAACGAGAGACUCGGUGAAAUCAUAGUACCUGUGAAGAUGCAGGUUACCCGCGACAGGACGGAAAGACCCCGUGGAGCUUUACUGUAGCCUGAUAUUGAAAUUCGGCACAGCUUGUACAGGAUAGGUAGGAGCCUUUGAAACGUGAGUGCUAGCUUACGUGGAGGCGCUGGUGGGAUACUACCCUAGCUGUGUUGGCUUUCUAACCCGCACCACUUAUCGUGGUGGGAGACAGUGUCAGGCGGGCAGUUUGACUGGGGCGGUCGCCUCCUAAAAGGUAACGGAGGCGCUCAAAGGUUCCCUCAGAAUGGUUGGAAAUCAUUCAUAGAGUGUAAAGGCAUAAGGG
RNAcentral lists this ribosomal RNA (2364 nucleotides) under Staphylococcus aureus. RNAcentral's name for it is "23S ribosomal RNA". It matches the Rfam family "Bacterial large subunit ribosomal RNA", at positions 3 to 2365 of the family's 2925-position model. Lineage: Bacteria; Bacillati; Bacillota; Bacilli; Caryophanales; Staphylococcaceae. The record is from RNAcentral.